UACGGAGGGUGCGAGCGUUGUCCGGAUUUAUUGGGUUUAAAGGGUGCGUAGGCGGCCUUGUAAGUCAGUGGUGAAAGCCUCCAGCUCAACUGGAGAACUGCCAUUGAUACUGCAAGGCUUGAGUACAGACGAGGUUGGCGGAAUUGAUUGUGUAGCGGUGAAAUGCAUAGAUACAAUCAAGAACUCCGAUUGCGUAGGCAGCUAACUAGGCUGUAACUGACGCUGAGGCACGAAAGCGUGGGGAGCGAACAGG
RNAcentral lists this ribosomal RNA (253 nucleotides) under uncultured bacterium. RNAcentral describes it as "partial 16S ribosomal RNA". It matches the Rfam family "Bacterial small subunit ribosomal RNA", at positions 524 to 776 of the family's 1533-position model. The record is from RNAcentral.